GUUGCUUUGGCAGAAUAGUGCCCUAGAUUUAGGAUCUAAAUAAGAGUUUUAGGACUCAAGUAAUA
RNAcentral lists this transfer RNA (65 nucleotides) under Serratella zapekinae. Its description in RNAcentral is "tRNA-Leu". The record is from RNAcentral. Lineage: Eukaryota; Metazoa; Arthropoda; Insecta; Ephemeroptera; Ephemerellidae.